This 1005-nucleotide long non-coding RNA is filed under the name Callithrix jacchus (white-tufted-ear marmoset). RNAcentral's name for it is "lncRNA (ENSCJAG00000083907.1)". Lineage: Eukaryota; Metazoa; Chordata; Mammalia; Primates; Cebidae. The record is from RNAcentral.
UGAUUCACCGACAGCUGAACCAGCUACUGGUACUAGGGGGUGGGCGUCUGCAGAACCGUUUCCCUCCCACCUCUCCCAACCCCCUACCCGGGUGGGAAGUGGGCUGGCGGGUCGAGAGAGGCCAGGUGGAUGACAGCCGCGGAGUGCGUGCCUGCUCUUCCCUCUCUCCCUCCUCCUCCCAGUUUCAUUUCCACACAUACAGCCACCCACCGGGGACCGGAGGCGGCUAGUGUUCUCUGAACGGAGGGAACUGGCUCUCUCUGUGGUCUCCUGUUUACUUCCCUCCUCCUCUUUCCCCUCCCUUCUCCCCGCCCCCAUCUCCCAGUGCUGCUUCCCGCCCAGAGCUGCUGGGAAACCUGAGGCUAAACACUGCAGUCAUGCGACUUCCCUGGACCCAAGCUUUGGCCCAGGUUUGCCCUGUCCUGUCCUGUCUUGCCCGGUGUCCGCUUGUUUGGGGCACUUCUUUCGUCCUGAAAAGGUUCUUGUGGCUCCCUAUCCAGGAACGUGGAAGAGCCUGCUUCCCAGUGGGAAGAAUACAGCCUCUCUCUCCCUAAAUAAGCUGAAUGAACAAAGGAUUCCAAGGAGGCUGUGGGGGUUCCAGCUCUGGGUGCCACCUGCCUGAAGUUCACCCCAUUUAAAAACCACCUCUUCACCACCACCCCCUGCUCCACUGCCAUGGUUACCAGCUCCCCAUCCUUCCCAGUACAAUGUUGCACAGAGGCAGAAACAAACAAGGACAUUUAAAAUGUUCUUUUAAAUAAAUAUCCAAAACACUGCCUUGGUAUUUUGGUAGCAAAGAAGAGGGAAUAAAAGUACUGACUGCUGGUUUCUUCUGACCCCGAGACCCUGAAUAAAUCCUUACCCUGGAUGGCCUCUCAGCUGCCAAAAGAGGGAAGGAAGCUUGGUGAGAUACUAGAGAGUGGAAUUCAGAACAAACCCUUGGCAGGAGAAUUAUUCCCCAAGUUAGACUCUUUCUUGCUUCCCCCUCCACCCCAGCUGCUUUGA